This 433-nucleotide ribosomal RNA is filed under the name uncultured bacterium. RNAcentral describes it as "partial 16S ribosomal RNA". It matches the Rfam family "Bacterial small subunit ribosomal RNA", at positions 29 to 507 of the family's 1533-position model. The record is from RNAcentral.
AACGAACGCUGGCGGCAUGCCUAACACAUGCAAGUCGAACGAGACCUUCGGGUCUAGUGGCGCACGGGUGCGUAACGCGUGGGAACCUGCCCUUAGGUUCGGAAUAACUCCCCGAAAGGGGUGCUAAUACCGGAUAAUGUCUUCGGACCAAAGAUUUAUGGCCUUUGGAUGGGCCCGCGUGGGAUUAGCUAGUUGGUAGGGUAAAAGCCUCCCAAGGCGACGAUCCAUAGCUGGUCUGAGAGGAUGAUCAGCCACACUGGGACUGAGACACGGCCCAGACUCUUACGGGAGGCAGCAGUAGGGAAUAGAGGAAUAGGGGCGAGAGAAUGAGAAAGCAGUGACGCGUGAGUGACGAAGGCCUGAGGGUUGUAAAGCUCUUUUGCCUGGGCGGAUAAUGACAGAACCGGGAGAAUAGGCACCGGCUAACUCCGUG